GAUGAACGCUGGCGGCGUGCCUAAUACAUGCAAGUCGAGCGAACGGACGAGAAGCUUGCGUCUCUGAUGUUAGCGGCGGACGGGUGAGUAACACGUGGAUGACCUACCUAUACGACUGGGAUAACUUCGGGAAACCGGAGCUAAUACCGGAUAAUAUUUUGAACCGCAUGGUUCCAAAGUGAAAGACGGUCUUGCUGUCACUUAUAGAUGGAUCCGCGCUGCAUUAGCUAGUUGGUAAGGUAACGGCUUACCAAGGCAACGAUGCAUAGCCGACCUGAGAGGGUGAUCGCCCACACUGGAACUGAGACACGGCCCAGACUCUGACGGGAGGCAGCAGUAGGGAAUCUUCCGCAAGGGGCGAGUGCCUGACGGAGCAACGCCGCGUGAGUGAUGAAGGUCUUCGGAUCGUAAAACGCUGUUAUUAGUGAAGAACAUAUGUGUAAGUAACUGUGCACAUCUUGACGGUACCUAAUCAGAAAGCCACGGCUAACUACGUG
This 497-nucleotide ribosomal RNA is filed under the name uncultured bacterium. RNAcentral describes it as "partial 16S ribosomal RNA". It matches the Rfam family "Bacterial small subunit ribosomal RNA", at positions 28 to 507 of the family's 1533-position model. The record is from RNAcentral.